This 154-nucleotide ribosomal RNA is filed under the name Enterococcus faecium. RNAcentral's name for it is "partial 23S ribosomal RNA". It matches the Rfam family "Bacterial large subunit ribosomal RNA", at positions 1 to 149 of the family's 2925-position model. The record is from RNAcentral. Lineage: Bacteria; Bacillati; Bacillota; Bacilli; Lactobacillales; Enterococcaceae.
GAUAAGGUUAAGUGAAUAAGGGCGCACGGUGGAUGCCUUGGCACUAGGAGCCGAUGAAGGACGGGACUAACACCGAUAUGCUUUGGGGAGCUGUACGUAAGCUAUGAUCCAGAGAUUUCCGAAUGGGGGAACCCAGCAUCUUUAAUAGGAUGUU